CUAGUUUGUAAUAGCCAAUUCUUGUUAAAACUAAAGAUGGGGGGUUUGUGGAGUGUUUAAUGUCAUGGGCAUUUUUAGUAGCAUAGGCCCUUUGCUCUGCAUUUGAAUGUUUCAUGUAUUUUUGUUCCACAGUUAAUCUUCCCUCCCCAAGUUUGCUAUUCAAAUCCAAUGCCUGAGUGACAGUUUCUAGCAGUUUGACAUAUUUUUUGAGGAAGAGUUUGUGAUUCCAAUGCAGGUGUCUUCAUUACUGUUACCUCUACGUUGAGGGGAAAAAGCAAAACCCCUUGUUAGAAUUACUGCACAUGUUUAUGGAAAAAAUAUUUUUUAAAGACUAGAAUGAUACAAGUGAGCAAAAGAAGUUGGUCAGCUUGACUAUGGAGUGGUGGCAAUAAUCUCUAAACAUUCCAAAAGA
Molecule: non-coding RNA, 412 nt
Organism: Vicugna pacos (alpaca)
Lineage: Eukaryota; Metazoa; Chordata; Mammalia; Artiodactyla; Camelidae
Source: RefSeq, a predicted model, not a curated record